RNAcentral lists this ribosomal RNA (303 nucleotides) under uncultured bacterium. Its description in RNAcentral is "partial 16S ribosomal RNA". It matches the Rfam family "Bacterial small subunit ribosomal RNA", at positions 507 to 809 of the family's 1533-position model. The record is from RNAcentral.
AGCAGUCGCCGCGGUAAUACGUAGGUCCCGAGCGUUGUCCGGAUUUAUUAGGCGUAAAGCGAGCGCAGGCGGUUAGAUAAGUCUGAAGUUAAAGGCUGUGGCUUAACCAUAGUACGCUUUGGAAACUGUUUAACUUGAGUGCAGAAGGGGAGAGUGGAAUUCCAUGUGUAGCGGUGAAAUGCGUAGAUAUAUGGAGGAACACCGGUGGCGAAAGCGGCUCUCUGGCUUGUAACUGACGCUGAGGCUCGAAAGCGUAGGGAGCAAACAGGAUUAGAUACCGCGUAGUCCCUGUCUCUUAUACAC